CUGCAAGUCGAACGCUUCCUGAGUGGCUUGCCAUUCAGGAAGAGUGGCGAACGGGUGAGUAACACGUGAGUAAUCUUCCCUCGAGUGAGGAACAACCCCGCGAAAGCGGGGCUAAUACCGCAUAAUACUCUGGGGUAUAAGCUUUCAGAGUCAAAGCCGCAAGGCGCUUGAGGAUGAGCUUGCGUCCUAUUAGCUAGUUGGUAGGGUAACGGCCUACCAAGGUAAUGAUGGGUAGCCGGCCUGAGAGGGUGUACGGCCACACUGGGACUGGGACACGGCCCAGACUCCUACGGGAGGCAGCAGUGAGGAAUUUUGCGCAAUGGGCGAAAGCCUGACGCAGCGACGCCGCGUGGAGGAUGAAGGCCUUCGGGUUGUAAACUCCUGUCAGAGGAGAAGAAAUCCCGAGUAAUCGGGUUUGACGUAUCC
Molecule: ribosomal RNA, 426 nt
Filed under: uncultured bacterium
Lineage: Bacteria
Description: bacterial SSU rRNA
Rfam family: Bacterial small subunit ribosomal RNA
Source: RNAcentral